Molecule: transfer RNA, 76 nt
Filed under: Desulfovibrio sp.
Lineage: Bacteria; Pseudomonadati; Thermodesulfobacteriota; Desulfovibrionia; Desulfovibrionales; Desulfovibrionaceae
Also listed under: 1 other name
Description: tRNA-Lys
Rfam family: tRNA
About the family: Transfer RNA (tRNA) molecules are approximately 80 nucleotides in length. Their secondary structure includes four short double-helical elements and three loops (D, anti-codon, and T loops).
Source: RNAcentral
GGGUCAUUAGCUCAAUUGGUAGAGCAGCUGACUCUUAAUCAGUUGGUUGCAGGUUCAAGUCCUGCAUGGCCCACCA